AUACGGAGGGUGCAAGCGUUAUUCGGAAUCACUGGGCGUAAAGGACGCGUAGGCGGGUUUGCAAGUCAGAUGUGAAAUCCUACAGCUUAACUGUAGAACUGCAUUUGAAACUGCUAACCUAGAGUAUGGGAGGGGGAGAUGGAAUUAGUGGUGUAGGGGUAAAAUCCGUAGAUAUCACUAGGAAUACCGAAAGCGAAGGCGAUCUCCUGGAACAUAACUGACGCUAAGGCGUGAAAGCGUGGGGAGCAAACAGGAUUAGAAACCCUAGUAGUCC
Molecule: ribosomal RNA, 274 nt
Filed under: uncultured bacterium
Lineage: Bacteria
Description: partial 16S ribosomal RNA
Rfam family: Bacterial small subunit ribosomal RNA
Source: RNAcentral